GAUGAACGCUGGCGGCGUGCCUAAUACAUGCAAGUCGAGCGAACGGACGAGGAGCUUGCUCCUCUGACGUUAGCGGCGGACGGGUGAGUAACACGUGGAUAACCUACCUAUAAGACUGGGAUAACUUCGGGAAACCGGAGCUAAUACCGGAUAAUAUAUUGAACCGCAUGGUUCAAUAGUGAAAGACGGUCUUGCUGUCACUUAUAGAUGGAUCCGCGCUGCAUUAGCUAGUUGGUAAGGUAACGGCUUACCAAGGCAACGAUGCAUAGCCGACCUGAGAGGGUGAUCGGCCACACUGGAACUGAGACACGGUCCAGACUCCUACGGGAGGCAGCAGUAGGGAAUCUUCCGCAAUGGGCGAAAGCCUGACGGAGCAACGCCGCGUGAGUGAUGAAGGUCUUCGGAUCGUAAAACUCUGUUAUUAGGGAAGAACAAAUGUGUAAGUAACUAUGCACAUCUUGACGGUACCUAAUCAGAAAGCCACGGCUAACUACGUG
RNAcentral lists this ribosomal RNA (497 nucleotides) under uncultured bacterium. RNAcentral's name for it is "partial 16S ribosomal RNA". It matches the Rfam family "Bacterial small subunit ribosomal RNA", at positions 28 to 507 of the family's 1533-position model. The record is from RNAcentral.